CUCCAAUGUGCCAUGCGAAUCGAGCGCCAUUUUGUUCUCGAACGUGGUGGGAUGGUGUAGUGACCGCAAUUAUAGGCAUAAUUCGUUUUCUGCUGAAUGUAUAGCGAAAUUAAAAAUUGCAGCAAGAAGCAGUAGCUUUUGCUGUGAUGGUUGUUUUGUUAUUAAGCCCAGUUAAUGUUCUCUUGCCUGUAUGCAGCGUGGUGUGGGUGUGAUAUGGCUAUUCUCAUUCUUGAUUGUAAGGUAAAAUUUAUAAUCCAUUAUUUGCUUAAAUGAAUAGGUUUUCAAUUGUAAUUAUUUAUGUUAAUUCAUUUUUUUUAAAGCAAACUGGUGAUUGCGAUCUUUUUUCCCUGAAUUUCUGCAUGUAUAGAAUGUAGUUGCAGAUUAAAUAAUUACAUGGUUCUGCUCGAUUCAGGAAGGAUUUCAUGUCUGCAGAUAAUGUAUUACAAGAGGCUGUUGUGUGCCAGUGGACAAGCUGGUGAGAAGCUGAACACUAAUAGCUUGAAUCCUGGUGAAUGGACUGCCUGCAUAAGCGUCGUCAUGAUUUUUCCACGUGUAAUAUGAAUGCAAGCCAGUUUGCCUUAAAGCAUCCCUUCUUGGAAAAUAUCUUCUAAUGUUUCAUCACAAAAAUCAGUCAAAAACUGUUUCUCAUGAUUUGAAAAAUACGUAUAAAGGAAGUCAAAUUUAAUUGAUAAAUUGUGCAUGCUGAGAUUGUAUACUAUAUCAUAUACAUUUUUAAUAUAUUUUCUGUAUCUCUAAUGUUGAGAAUUUUGAUGUUUUAAUUUAACCCUGAAUAAAAUGUUAAGUACUAUAAGCAAAGUAAGCAGUAUUGUAUUUGAUGUCAGAACAAUAUUUUUUUAUUUUAUACUUGUAUAUUUUUGCUUAUGAUUGGAAUUUUAGUACAAAUUAUUUUGGCAUGAUGUGGCCUGUUCUCAUUUAAAAUGCAUUUUGUAUUUUUUUUUCUUCUGUUAUUUGCAUUAUAAUAGUUUGGCCAUAACAACUAUGGAUGCCAAAUCAACAUGUAUGGGAAUAACUGUAUUAAAUUUUGAGAAAACCUUUAGGUGUCAUUUAUUAUAAAGGUUGAGAUGAUUGUUUUUAUAAAUUCAUUCAUUCUUAUCUAUUUAAGAAUUAUCAUUUAACAUAAAAAUAUGAAAAAGAAUAAUAUAUUAUAAUACUA
This 1174-nucleotide long non-coding RNA is filed under the name Stegodyphus dumicola. RNAcentral's name for it is "uncharacterized LOC118182244, transcript variant X1". Lineage: Eukaryota; Metazoa; Arthropoda; Arachnida; Araneae; Eresidae. The record is from RNAcentral.